UAAGGAAUAUUGCGCAAUGGGCGACAGCCUGACGCAGCGACGCCGCGUGGGGGAUGAAGGUCUUCGGAUUGUAAACCCCUUUCGGCAGGGAAGAUGGAACGGGUAACCGUUCGGACGGUACCUGCAGAAGCAGCCACGGCUAACUUCGUGCCAGCAGCCGCGGUAAUACGAAGGUGGCAAGCGUUGUUCGGAUUUACUGGGCGUACAGGGAGCGUAGGCGGUUGGGUAAGCCCUCCGUGAAAUCUCCGGGCCUAACCCGGAAAGUGCGGAGGGGACUGCUCGGCUAGAGGAUGGGAGAGGAGCGCGGAAUUCCCGGUGUAGCGGUGAAAUGCGUAGAGAUCGGGAGGAAGGCCGGUGGCGAAGGCGGCGCUCUGGAACAUUUCUGACGCUGAGGCUCGAAAGCGUGGGGAGCAAACAGGAUUAGAUACCCCUGUAGUCCCUGAGCGGGCUGGCAAGGCGCAU
This 462-nucleotide ribosomal RNA is filed under the name uncultured bacterium. RNAcentral describes it as "bacterial SSU rRNA". It matches the Rfam family "Bacterial small subunit ribosomal RNA", at positions 355 to 825 of the family's 1533-position model. The record is from RNAcentral.